AACAAGUGGUAUUAGAGCACAACAGGUAUAAAUUCUAUCUUAGAUGUAUGUUUGAUUUGUUUGAUUGUAAUCAACAAGGUAGUCCUAGGAUUUAUAUUUCAGUCAUCUUAUUUUAAGUGUUAAAACUUAUUUUCAAAAGUUAAAAGUAUGUAAAAAAUUUUGAAAAUCACUUUUCAUUGCGUGACCGGAACCCAACGGAUA
RNAcentral lists this long non-coding RNA (201 nucleotides) under Elaeis guineensis (African oil palm). RNAcentral's name for it is "long non-coding RNA (EGUI_LNC040635)". Lineage: Eukaryota; Viridiplantae; Streptophyta; Magnoliopsida; Arecales; Arecaceae. The record is from RNAcentral.